Molecule: long non-coding RNA, 1742 nt
Organism: Humulus lupulus (European hop)
Lineage: Eukaryota; Viridiplantae; Streptophyta; Magnoliopsida; Rosales; Cannabaceae
Exons: 3
Source: RefSeq, a predicted model, not a curated record
AUGUGUCCUCGAACAAAUUGAAGGGGAUAGUGAAGCACUAUCGCAUUCCUCCAGAGUGCGCCCUAUACGCUCCUAAGGAGACCUGCCGGGCCGACCGCCCUGAGAUGGGUUUUGUGGUUUUGAGCGAGCAGAUUUUGAAGGCGGGUGGCACCGUUCCUUUGCACCCGUUCUUUGUGGCGGUUCUUAACUACUUCGACUUGGCCCCUCUUCAACUGUCACCCAACAGUUGGUUGACUUUAAGCUGUCUUUUCAUCUUGUUCAAGCAGAAUGUCGAGCACGCCCCGACGGCGCAAGAGGUGCACACCCUGUACAACCUCAUGGCGGUGCACAAGUCUAAGGGCUUCUUCUACCUGCAGAAGGCCAACAACGAUCUCCCUUUAAUAGAGGGUUCAGUGUCUAACCCAGGGCUUUGGAAGCAAGAAUUUUUCUAGGUAAAGGGCCCUCUCUCUGUUCGCGAGGACUUUCGCUUUAGCCCUAAGCAAUUCGCUGAUCCUUCGGCGAUUGGGGCAGAGGCGGCGGCCAUAAACAAGCUUAUAGAUGCAGACGCCGCCUUGAAGAAGGCGGCUGUCCUAUUUACUGUGACGAACCUUAAACUCCACCAGCUGUCCCUGGUUUCUGACCCUAAGUUCCUGUGGUCAAUUACUGUGUCUAAGAAGCCUGUGGCUAUGCUGACUGGGCCGUCCCUACACGAUGGCGAGGCUGAGGAGGAGAUGGAGGAUGCCCCCCCGUCCCCCGGGGGAUGCCCCCUCUAUGGCCCACAUGACCAGGACAUGGCUUUUCCAUCUCUGGACCCGCAGGCCGCGGCGGGAUGUUACGCCCCUCCUGGCCCUGAUGGCACGGACGUCUUCCCUCAUGUCCCCCAUGACAUCGGCAUACCAGACGCUAACUACGUCGACCUCGCGGAGCCCCCUUCCAAUGCACUAGGGUCCCAGUUUUUUCCCUUCUCUGCGCCGCCUCCUACUUCGGCGAGUGGGUCAUCCGUUCCUGUCCCACCAGAUGUUCCUAGCGUGGAGGCAGAGCCUUGGGUGACCAGGAUGGCCUCAGUUUAUGGGCAGCAUUUCGUUCCAAUAGCCGCGAGUCUCCCUGUCUCCGACUGGAGGGGCCUGGGGAAUGUGACUUAACCAGACCUCGGGGAGAUGCUAAGGCGCGCCGCAGCCUAGGUCUACAUCGUGUCUCUUCGGCAUGCCGACUAGUCCGGUGUUCUUUCCGCAUCUACCACUGAGAGGGACGACCUCAUAGUCCAGGUCCAAGAGCUUGAGAAUGAACUUAGCGCAGCCAAGGUCCAAUUGUCAAAGGCCCAGACUAAGUAUGCCAAGUUGGACUCGAAGAAUGACAAGCUGAAGGCCAAGAUCAAGGAGCUGAAGGGUAGGGCUAAAUGCUUGGAGUGCGAGCUCCGGGGGGCCAAGGCCGCUGCGUCCGCGUCGCAGGAGAGGGUUACUCAACAGGAGACUGAAGUUGAGGCCCUUAGGGCUGAACUACAGUCGGCUCAGGAGAAGAACGCUUCAUUGGAGGCGGAGAGAGCCAUAACCGAGCGUAAGUCCAUAGAUCAUGCUCUUUUUAAUGUGUGGAGGCAGGAUCCCCACUUCGACUUCUCCUCCUUUGGCGAACAGGACGUUGCCCGAGCAGCCUGGUGGAGUGCCCACUACAAGAGGCCUUGAAAUAUUUUCGCUCUUUUUUUGUUGUCUUUUGAUUUUGUAACAUCAUUACUAGUAUUGCUUUUCUGUUAGUAACUCUUGUGCUAU